Molecule: transfer RNA, 75 nt
Filed under: Diaphorina citri (Asian citrus psyllid)
Lineage: Eukaryota; Metazoa; Arthropoda; Insecta; Hemiptera; Psyllidae
Rfam family: tRNA
About the family: Transfer RNA (tRNA) molecules are approximately 80 nucleotides in length.
Source: Rfam by way of RNAcentral
GAUCCCAUGGCGUAGUGAUGGUCACUGCGCUCGCCUUGCACGCGGGAGACCCGGGUACGAUUCCCGGCGGGGUCA